UGUGGGAAAACAAGUUCCCGCCUUAAAACCAUGCGUUUAUUUUAAAUGCAAAUUUACGUUUACACAAACAAUUUCAUUUCAUUUGAAUUUGGAUUCCUUUUUCGACUUUUGUCCUCCUUUUUCCCUAGAAAUUCAUCAUAACGAUACACCAGAUUCCUUCUAUGCGAUGGAAAAUGAGAAUCGGAUCGCUUUACGAAUCGUCGAAAAAUCCCCGAUAUUCUAUAACGAUCAGGUUAUUAUCUUAUCUGCUAGAUCUACAGGAUUCUUCGAUUGGAUUGAUUUUCCAGAAAUUAAGCAGCUGCCGAAGUUAUGAUGAAUUUCAUGUGAAAGAAAGAUGAUGAUGUGCCUUGCUUAUUUAACUGAAGAAGACGGGUGAAGUUUAAGUUAAUGAUAUGGAGUUUUGAAGCAAAACCAAAGGCGCAUAUUGAUUCGUAAGGUUUCGUUUUGGUGUUUCAAGUUAUACAUACAAAGCCAUAAUUGUUUAUUGUGUGAAUUAACGGUCUUUUUGCUCAGCUCUCAGUUAAGUGCAAUGGUUGGUUCCAACUGAACCAUGAUAGCUAGACGAAAGAUAUAAAAACUUUUUUGUUAUUCUUUCUUAAUUAAUCGUUUCUGAUUCACCGGCUUUUAUCUCUGCAACUCCUUACCAGCUGAAUAAAGACUUCCAGGGAAGCAGAAGAAUAAAGCUUCAAAAGUCUAAUUAAUUGUAUUUGUUAUAAUGUAUACCAUGAAUAAGAGUUGCUUCUCAACUUCCAAACAACCAUGGUUAUUUACUUUGAUCAACUAGGCAAUCACCUCUUGAGCAUGUAUAAAUCAUAAAUUGCAGUGAUUAAGUCAGAUCCACCUUCUAAUAGCUUUUGACAAUGAUCCUGUAUCUUUCCAGCAUGUACUUAGGUUCUCAGUGUUCUUAAGAUCUAUCUAUUUUGUAUUGUUACCAAAA
Long non-coding RNA from Gossypium arboreum, 937 nucleotides. RefSeq lists it as uncharacterized. The record is from RefSeq and is a predicted model, not a curated record. The transcript is spliced from 3 exons. NCBI's taxonomy places the organism in Eukaryota, Viridiplantae, Streptophyta, Magnoliopsida, Malvales, Malvaceae.